Non-coding RNA from Pelobates cultripes (western spadefoot toad), 432 nucleotides. The record is from the annotation of a GenBank genome assembly. Lineage: Eukaryota; Metazoa; Chordata; Amphibia; Anura; Pelobatidae.
CCUGCCUGCUCCCGAUGGGUCAUCACAGGCACGCCAGGGGGGUGUGGUUGCCCAGCCCGGUCCGGGAUCCCCCUCCUCAAGUCCGUGUCUAUCUGGGUGCGCUAUGUUACUCUCCCAUCCCUGCUACUCCCCCCAUAGUGUUCCCGUAUCCCCCGACCCCAUGUUAGCUCUCUGUUCUACGCUUGUCAUGAGCUAGCCUACCGGCCACCUGGCCACCAACCCUUGGUAUUUACAUCGACAUUUAGUACUUGCGUGCAUGAUAUUAGGGUCUAGUUAAGUUCAAGUGUCCUCUCCUCCGGCCCAGCUUAUUUCAGCGUGGUGGAGUAGCCCGUCUCAAGUCCAUGGUGUGCUCGUGAGUCCUGUGCCGGGUGUUCAGUGUAGGCAGGGAAACUCCGUCUCCGUUGUUGUAGUGUUCUCCGUUGGAUGCUGUCU